ACUGGCGGCAGGCCUAACACAUGCAAUUCGAGCGGUAGAGAGAAGCUUGCUUCUCUUGAGAGCGGCGGACGGGUGAGUAAAGCCUAGGAAUCUGCCUGGUAGUGGGGGAUAACGUUCGGAAACCGACGCUAAUACCGCAUACGUCCUACGGGAGAAAGCAGGGGACCUUCGGGCCUUGCGCUAUCACAUGAUCCUAGGUCGGAUUACCUAGUUGGUGAGGUAAUGGCUCACCAAGGCGACGAUCCGUAACUGGUCUGAGAGGAUGAUCAGUCACACUGGAACUGAGACACGGUCCANACUCCUACGGGAGGCAGCAGUGGGGAAUAUUGGACAAUGGGCGAAAGCCUGAUCCAGCCAUGCCGCGUGUGUGAAGAAGGUCUUCGGAUUGUAAAGCACUUUAAUUUGGGAGGAAGGGCAUUAACCUAAUACGUUAGUGUUUUGACGUUACCGACCGAAUAAGCACCGGCUAACUCUGUGCCAGAAGUCCCGGUAAUACAGAGGGUGCAAGCGUUAAGCGGAAUUACUGGGCGAAAACGCCCGUAGGUGGUUUGUUAAAUUGGAUGGGAAUCCCCGGGUUCACCUGGGAACUGCAUUCAAAACUGACUGACUAGAGUUUGGCAGAGGGUGGAGGAAUUUCCUGUGUACCGGUGAAAUGCGUCUAUAUAAAAAGGAACACCCGUGGCCAGGCGACCCCCUGCGUCUAUUACUGACACUGAGGCGCGNAUGCGUGGCGAGUCACACAGGAAUAACUCCCCUGUAGUCCAG
RNAcentral lists this ribosomal RNA (765 nucleotides) under uncultured bacterium. RNAcentral's name for it is "bacterial SSU rRNA". It matches the Rfam family "Bacterial small subunit ribosomal RNA", at positions 35 to 798 of the family's 1533-position model. The record is from RNAcentral.